Molecule: ribosomal RNA, 463 nt
Filed under: Selenomonas sp. oral taxon F19
Lineage: Bacteria; Bacillati; Bacillota; Negativicutes; Selenomonadales; Selenomonadaceae
Description: bacterial SSU rRNA
Rfam family: Bacterial small subunit ribosomal RNA
Source: RNAcentral
GACGAACGCUGGCGGCGUGCUUAACACAUGCAAGUCGAACGGGAUGAUCUUAAAGCUUGCUUUUAGAGAAUCUAGUGGCAAACGGGUGAGUAACACGUAGACAACCUGCCGACAGGAUGGGGACAACAUUCCGAAAGGAAUGCUAAUACCGAAUGAAGUCAGAGGAGGGCAUCCUCCUCUGAUGAAAGAUGGCCUCUAUUUAUAAGCUAUCACCUGUUGAUGGGUCUGCGUCUGAUUAGCUAGUUGGUGAGGUAACGGCUCACCAAGGCGACGAUCAGUAGCCGGUCUGAGAGGAUGAACGGCCACAUUGGGACUGAGACACGGCCCAGACUCCUACGGGAGGCAGCAGUGGGGAAUCUUCCGCAAUGGGCGCAAGCCUGACGGAGCAACGCCGCGUGAGUGAAGAAGGUCUUCGGAUCGUAAAGCUCUGUUGACGGGGACGAACGUGCGGAGUGCGAAUAGC